UACGUAGGGUGCAAGCGUUAUCCGGAAUUAUUGGGCGUAAAGAGCUCGUAGGCGGUUUGUCGCGUCUGCCGUGAAAGUCCGGGGCUCAACUCCGGAUCUGCGGUGGGUACGGGCAGACUAGAGUGAUGUAGGGGAGACUGGAAUUCCUGGUGUAGCGGUGAAAUGCGCAGAUAUCAGGAAGAACACCAAUGGCGAAAGCAGCUUUCUGGGACGGUACUGACGCUGAGACGCGAAAGCGUGGGGAGCGAACAGG
This 253-nucleotide ribosomal RNA is filed under the name uncultured bacterium. RNAcentral's name for it is "partial 16S ribosomal RNA". It matches the Rfam family "Bacterial small subunit ribosomal RNA", at positions 524 to 776 of the family's 1533-position model. The record is from RNAcentral.